CAUCAAAGAGGAAUUCCAUUCCCCCCCCCCCCUCUUAAAUUUCUUCAUACAUUUCCUCCUGCUCUACGCGGAUGGCUACCCUGUCAAUUUGAAUCUCCUAAAUGAAGUUCUUCCCAGCCUUGGCAUUAAAAUCAUCCUCCGCUCGUUCCAAUCCAAACCUGGACUCAUCAUAUGUCGGCUGUUAGGAUGUGCCAUCCCUUUUCCUUUGCUUCUUGGGAGCCAUAGUACCUGCAGAGAGUUCAAAAAAACCAUCAAAUUCAUCCAAAUUAGUACCAAUCAGAUGGUUACUCAGACUUUGCCACCCGAUGGCACCAAAACAAUACCUCCAUUGGGUUCUGCUUUCCAAACUAGCCCCUCUAGCAGGGUGGUGAAGGUCACAACCUCCAUAAGGGCCUCACAACUGAACUACUUACCACAUUCGUCCUACACCACCCCACACUUAGUCCUUCACAUAUUUUUAAACAUUGACAACACCCCCAAUCACCAGUACAACACCCCACAAAAAAGAAUAGGCACAAACUACCCAAUAAUAUCACAACAACCACAUAUGUUUGGCCAAAAAGAGUCCCCACAACAACAACAUCCCAAAAAUAAAUUCUACAAUUGAAACACCAUGAAGGCUCAACCACCUUAGCACCAAACAAGUUCAAAAAAGUCCCAUACAACAAUGGAAACCAUAAAAGAGGCAAAACUUUAGCAACAAUUAAACUACCCUACCUAGGGUUAAACUAAGUAAAUGUAUAUGUACAUUACACUAGUUAGAAGAAAAAAAUAGAGAGAGAGAGAGAGAGAGAUAAAACUUACUUGAAUGGAUGAGGGAAAGUGGGUGGUGAAGGUGGAGAGUAUGGGAGGAUGAUAAUGGAGUUUUUGGGUGAGUGAGAGAGAGAUUCUGUGAAGAGGAGAAGAAAA
Molecule: long non-coding RNA, 909 nt
Filed under: Nicotiana benthamiana
Lineage: Eukaryota; Viridiplantae; Streptophyta; Magnoliopsida; Solanales; Solanaceae
Description: long non-coding RNA (NBEN_LNC034971)
Source: RNAcentral